CAGUCGCCGCGGUAAUACGAAGGGGGCUAGCGUUGCUCGGAAUUACUGGGCGUAAAGGGCGCGUAGGCGGACAGUUUAGUCGGGGGUGAAAGCCCGGGGCUCAACCUCGGAAUUGCCUUCGAUACUGGCUGUCUUGAGUGUGAGAGAGGUGUGUGGAACUCCGAGUGUAGAGGUGAAAUUCGUAGAUAUUCGGAAGAACACCAGUGGCGAAGGCGACACACUGGCUCACUACUGACGCUGAGGCGCGAAAGCGUGGGGAGCAAACAGGAUUAGAUACCCCAGUAGUCCCUGUCUCUUAUAC
This 301-nucleotide ribosomal RNA is filed under the name uncultured bacterium. RNAcentral describes it as "partial 16S ribosomal RNA". It matches the Rfam family "Bacterial small subunit ribosomal RNA", at positions 509 to 807 of the family's 1533-position model. The record is from RNAcentral.